This 245-nucleotide ribosomal RNA is filed under the name uncultured bacterium. Its description in RNAcentral is "partial small subunit ribosomal RNA". It matches the Rfam family "Bacterial small subunit ribosomal RNA", at positions 26 to 285 of the family's 1533-position model. The record is from RNAcentral.
AGGACGAACGCUGGCGGCGUGCUUAACACAUGCAAGUCGCACGAGAAAGGGGAGCAAUCCCUGAGUACAGUGGCGCACGGGUGAGUAACACGUGAAUCAUCUACCUCCGAGUGGGGAAUAACUGAGAGAAAUCUUAGCUAAUACCGCAUAAUACCCACGGGUCAAAGCAGCAAUGCGCUUGGAGAGGAGUUCGCGGCAGAUUAGUUAGUUGGCGGGGUAAUGGCCCACCAAGACGAUGAUCUGUA